AGCAGCCGCGGUAAUUCCAGCUCCAAUAGCGUAUAUUAAAGUUGUUGCAGUUAAAAAGCUCGUAGUUGAAUUUCGGGAUCAAUAUGUCGGUCGUGCUUUUUGGUACGUACUGGCGUCAUUGGUUUCUCCUUUCUGACGAGCCAUGAUGUCAUUAGUUUGGUGUUAUGGGGAGUUAGGACUGUUACUUUGAAAAAAUUAGAGUGUUUAAAGCAGGCAUUAGCUUGAAUACAUUAGCAUGGAAUAAUGAAAUAGGACGUUCGAUCCUAUUUUGUUGGUUUCUAGGAUCAACGUAAUGAUUAAUAGGGAUAGUUGGGGGCAUUAGUAUUCAAUUGUCAGAGGUGAAAUUCUUGGAUUUAUUGAAGACUAACUACUGCGAAAGCAUUUGCCAAGGAUGUUUUCAUUAAUCAAGAACGAAAGUUAGGGGAUCGAAGACGAUCAGAUACCGUCGUAGUCUUAACCAUAAACUAUGCCGACUAGGGAUCGGAUGAUGUUAAUUUUUAAUG
This 503-nucleotide ribosomal RNA is filed under the name uncultured Entrophospora. RNAcentral's name for it is "SSU rRNA". It matches the Rfam family "Eukaryotic small subunit ribosomal RNA", at positions 569 to 1075 of the family's 1831-position model. The record is from RNAcentral. Lineage: Eukaryota; Fungi; Glomeromycota; Glomeromycetes; Entrophosporales; Entrophosporaceae.